RNAcentral lists this ribosomal RNA (836 nucleotides) under uncultured Bacteroidota bacterium. Its description in RNAcentral is "bacterial SSU rRNA". It matches the Rfam family "Bacterial small subunit ribosomal RNA", at positions 9 to 845 of the family's 1533-position model. The record is from RNAcentral. Lineage: Bacteria; Pseudomonadati; Bacteroidota.
GAGUUUGAUCCUGGCUCAGGAUGAACGCUAGCGGCAGGCUUAAUACAUGCAAGUCGAACGGUAAAUAGUGUAGCAAUACAUUAUGAGAGUGACGUACGGGUGCGUAACACGUAUGCAACCUACCCAAAACAGGAGUAUAGCUCGGGGAAACUCGAAUUAACCCUCCAUAGUAUAUCUGAAUGGCAUCAUUUGGAUAUUAAAACUCAGGUGGUUUUGGAUGGGCAUGCGUCUGAUUAGUUAGUUGGCGGGGUAACGGCCCACCAAGACGAUGAUCAGUAGGGGAACUGAGAGGUUGAUCCCCCACACUGGCACUGAGAUACGGGCCAGACUCCUACGGGAGGCAGCAGUAGGGAAUAUUGGUCAAUGGGUGCAAGCCUGAACCAGCCAUGCCGCGUGCAGGAAGAAGGCCUUCUGGGUUGUAAACUGCUUUUGCCAGGGGAUAAAAUGGGAGUGCGCUCCUAAUUGAAGGUACCUGGUGAAUAAGCCACGGCUAACUACGUGCCAGCAGCCGCGGUAAUACGUAGGUGGCAAGCGUUGUCCGGAUUUAUUGGGUUUAAAGGGUGCGUAGGCGGUCUAUUAAGUCAGUGGUGAAAUAUGGCAGCUCAACUGUCAAGGUGCCAUUGAUACUGAUGGACUUGAGUGAAGUCGAGGUUGGCGGAAUUGACGGUGUAGCGGUGAAAUGCUUAGAUAUCGUCAAGAACACCGAUAGUGAAGACAGCUAACUAGGCUUAUACUGACGCUGAGGCACGAAAGUGUGGGGAUCAAACAGGAUUAGAUACCCUGGUAGUCCACACUGUAAACGUUGAUUACUCGCUGUUGGCGAUACACAGCCAGCG